This 85-nucleotide transfer RNA is filed under the name Felis catus (domestic cat). It matches the Rfam family "tRNA". From Rfam's summary of the family: Transfer RNA (tRNA) molecules are approximately 80 nucleotides in length. The record is from Rfam by way of RNAcentral. Lineage: Eukaryota; Metazoa; Chordata; Mammalia; Carnivora; Felidae.
ACCUGGCUGGCUUAGUUGGUUGAGCAUCUGACUUUGGCUCAGGUCACGAACUCAUAGUUUGUGAGUUCAAGCCCUGCGUCAGGCU